RNAcentral lists this non-coding RNA (23 nucleotides) under Mus musculus (house mouse). The record is from RNAcentral. Lineage: Eukaryota; Metazoa; Chordata; Mammalia; Rodentia; Muridae.
UGGCAGCUUCUGGCUUGGCCCAG